CAAAAACAUCGCCUCCCGCAAAAAUCAACGUAUAGGAGGUCCUACCUGCCCAGUGACUGUAAGUUAAACGGCCGCGGUAUUUUGACCGUGCAAAGGUAGCGCAAUCACUUGUCUUUUAAAUGAAGACCUGUAUGAAUGGUGGAACGAGGGCUUAACUGUCUCCCUCCCCUAGUCAGUGAAAUUGAUCUAUCCGUGCAGAAGCGGAUAUACUACUACAAGACGAGAAGACCCUUUGGAGCUUAAGAUAAAACCCAACUAUUUCAAAAGUUAAAAAUAAAACUAAACCAAAUAGCCCUGGCUCAUAUCUUCGGUUGGGGCGACCACGGGAGAAAAUAUAGCUCCCAUGAGGAUUGGGGAAUAUCCCUAAAACCAAGAGAGACAUCUCUAAGGCACAGAACAUCUGACCACUGAUCCGGCUAUAUGCCGACCAACGAACCAAGUUACCCUAGGGAUAACAGCGCAAUCCCCUUUCAGAGUCCAUAUCGACAAGGGGGUUUACGACCUCGAUGUUGGAUCAGGACAUCCUAAUGGUGCAGCCGCUAUUAAGGGUUC
This 552-nucleotide ribosomal RNA is filed under the name Cteniloricaria platystoma. RNAcentral's name for it is "partial 16S ribosomal RNA". It matches the Rfam family "Bacterial large subunit ribosomal RNA", at positions 1808 to 2574 of the family's 2925-position model. Lineage: Eukaryota; Metazoa; Chordata; Actinopteri; Siluriformes; Loricariidae. The record is from RNAcentral.